AUUGAACGCUGGCGGCAGGCCUAACACAUGCAAGUCGAGAGGAGCGGCGGACGGGUGAGUAAUGCCUAGGAAUCUGACUGGUAGUGGGGGAGCACGACCGGAAACGGGCGCUAUUACCGCAUACUAUGAGCAGAGCCUAGGGCGGAUUUGCUAGUUGGUGGGGUAAAGGCCUACCAAGGCGACGAUCCGUAACUGGUCUGAGAGGAUGAUCAGUCACACUGGAAAUGAGCCACGGUCCAGACUCCUACGGGAGGCAGCAGUGGGGAAUAUUGGACACUGGUCGAAAGCCUGAUCCAGCCAUGCCGCGUGUUGGAAGAAGGUCUUCGGAUUGUAAAGCACUUUAAGUUGGGAGGCGUUACCUACAGAAUAAGCACCGGCUAACUUCGUGCCAGCAGCCGCGGUAAUUC
RNAcentral lists this ribosomal RNA (407 nucleotides) under uncultured bacterium. Its description in RNAcentral is "partial 16S ribosomal RNA". It matches the Rfam family "Bacterial small subunit ribosomal RNA", at positions 30 to 526 of the family's 1533-position model. The record is from RNAcentral.